GACGAACGCUGGCGGCGUGCCUAACACAUGCAAGUCGAGCGGGGUUGAGGCGAGGGUAACUCGAGCUUCUACCUAGCGGCGGACGGGUGAGUAACGCGUGGGCAACCUGCCUCAAGGUUUGGGAUAACAGCCCGAAAGGGCUGCUAAUACCGGAUAUGCCUAUGGCCUCGCAUGGGGCUAUGAGCAAAGGGGAAACCCGCCUUGAGAUGGGCCCGCGUCCCAUCAGCUAGUUGGUGAGGUAACAGCUCACCAAGGCGACGACGGGUAGCCGGGCCUGAGAGGGUGACCGGCCACACUGGGACUGAGACACGGCCCAGACUCCUACGGGGGGCAGCAGUGGGGGAUCUUGCACAAUGGGCGAAAGCCUGAUGCAGCGACGCCGCGUGAGCGAAGAAGGCCUUCGGGUUGUAAAGCUCUGUCUGGAGGGACGAACAAAAUGACGGUACCUCCGGAGGAAGCCACGGCUAACUACGUG
This 475-nucleotide ribosomal RNA is filed under the name uncultured bacterium. RNAcentral's name for it is "bacterial SSU rRNA". It matches the Rfam family "Bacterial small subunit ribosomal RNA", at positions 28 to 507 of the family's 1533-position model. The record is from RNAcentral.